This 540-nucleotide ribosomal RNA is filed under the name Triticum aestivum (bread wheat). Its description in RNAcentral is "partial small subunit ribosomal RNA". Lineage: Eukaryota; Viridiplantae; Streptophyta; Magnoliopsida; Poales; Poaceae. The record is from RNAcentral.
UAUGAAGUAUUUGAGAGAUUUCAGAAAGAGAUUGUUGCAGCAAGAGACCACUGUUGCGUUCAAGGCAUUUCACAAGAUGGAGCAGUAAAAAUUGUGACCUUGAAAGGUCGAUCCCACAAGAUUAGGGAAGUUCAGUGCGACACGACAACGGUGAUAGCUACUUGUUCAUGCAAGUUAUUUGAGUCAAUUGGAAUCCCAUGCCGCCAUAUUAUCCAGGUGUUGAGAGUUGAAAAUCAAAAUGUACUUCCAUCCUACUACAUUAUGAAAAGAUGGGAGAAGCGAUGCAAACGGGAGAAUGUUUAUGAUGAGCAUGGAAAUUUACUAGAAGAGAAGGCCACCGACUCCUUGAAUGAUGUUACGAAGAAGAAGAUUUCGAUUGUACGCAAUAAGUUGGAAGAUCUAAUUCAAAAGGCGAAACACUUGGAUGAAGGCAUGGACUUUUUAUCAUCAAGUGUAUUGAAAAUUGAAGCACCUUUAGAUGAAAUGGUUCCUGCAUCAGGUCUGAAGCACACUAGAAAAGAAGAGUACGAGGCCAACUGA